CCCCGCUCAUUAGAUCCCAUGAAAGGCGUUGGUUGAUAUAGACAGCAGGACGGUGGCCAUGGAAGUCGGAAGCCGCUAAGGAGUGUGUAACAACUCACCUGCCGAAUCAACUAGCCCUGAAAAUGGAUGGCGCUUGAGCGGGAGACUUAUACUCAACCGUUGCUUGGCUUGAGCUUAACAUUCAAAUAGCCACAUCUCGUAAGAGAUGAGCAUUGAUGCCUGGCCGCAACGAGUAAGAGGGUCGCAGUGGUUUGCGUUGAAGGCUUUGGGCGUAGGCCCAGCUGGAGCUUCCACUGGUGCAGAUCUUGGUGGUAGUAGCAAAUAUUCAAGUGGGAUCCUUGAAGACUGAAGUGGAGAAGGGUUCCACGUGAACAGCAGUUGAAUGUGGGUCAGUCGAUCCUAAGAUACUGGCUAAUGCCUUAUAUCAACGAGAAAAGGAGUUCAAAUCCAUCUCGUCAAUCGAAAGGGAAACGGGUUAAUAUUCCCGUACCUGGACACGGAGAUAAGCGCCCAUUGCGGGUGUUUAGUGCGGUAACGCAAACGAACUCGGAGACGUUGAAUAGAGCUCGAGCCAGAGUUCUCUUUUCUGGUUAAGGAACGGACUCCCUGGAAACGGUUCAACCGGAGAUAGGGACGUUGUUUCCGUAAAGCGCCACGGUUCCUGUGGUGUCUCGUGCGCUCUAUUCGACCCUUGAAAAUCCGAGGGAGGCUAUUUGAAUUUCGUGCCAGACCGUACCGAUAUCCGCAGCAGGUCUCCAAGGUGAACAGCCUCUAGUCGAUAGAAUAAUGUAGGUAAGGGAAGUCGGCAAAUUAGAUCCGUAACUUCGGGAAAAGGAUUGGCUCUAAGGACUGGGCCGGUCGGGCUUCAGUGUGAAGUGAGUACGGUUUGAUCCAUGCAGUGCGACGCCUGUUCACGCAGGUGAAGCUCGGCUAGCGUUCGAAUUGUCUUAUGGACCGCUGCAGCUAUGUGCCACAUCUUUAUAGGUGUCGGUGCUUCGGCCGGCGCUAAACAGUCAGCUUAGAACUGGCACGGACUCGGGGAAUCCGACUGUCUAAUUAAAACAGAGGAGACAGAUGGCCCUUGCGGGCGUUGACUGUCUCUGAUUUCUGCCCAGUGCUCUGAAUGUAAAAGUGAAGAAAUUCAACCAAGCGCGGGUAAACGGCGGGAGUAACUAUGACUCUCUUAAGGUAGCCAAAUGCCUAGUCGAUUGAUUGUCGACGCGCAUGAAUGGAUUAACGAGAUUCCCACUGUCCCUAUAUACUAUCUAGCGAAACCACAGCCAAGGGAACGGGCUUGGCGAACACAGCGGGGAAAGAAGACCCUGUUGAGCUUGACUCUAGUCCGACUCUGUGAAGAGUCAUGAGAGGUGUAGUAUAAGUGGGAGGUUUUGCCGACAGUGAAAUACCACUACUUUCAUCGAUUCUUUACUUACUCGGUAAGACGAGAAUUGAGCCUAUCGGCUCUUGAUUCUGGUAUUAAGUGCAGCCACUCGGUGGCCGUACGACUCGCGCCGAAGACAGUGUCAGGCGGGGAGUUUGACUGGGGCGGUACAUCUGUCAAAACGUAACGCAGGUGUCCUAAGGCUAGCUCAGAGAGGACGGAAACCUCUCGUAGAGUAAAAGGGCAAAAGCUCGCUUGAUCUUGAUUUCCAGUACGAAUACAGACCGCGAAAGCGAGGCCUAUCGAUCCUUUUGAAUUAGAAGGUCUCUAGCAAGAGGUGUCAGAAAAGUUACCACAGGGAUAACUGGCUUGUGGCAGCCAAGCGUCCACAGCUAUCUGA
RNAcentral lists this ribosomal RNA (1781 nucleotides) under Turgida turgida. Its description in RNAcentral is "partial 28S ribosomal RNA". It matches the Rfam family "Eukaryotic large subunit ribosomal RNA", at positions 1195 to 2865 of the family's 3401-position model. The record is from RNAcentral. Lineage: Eukaryota; Metazoa; Nematoda; Chromadorea; Rhabditida; Physalopteridae.